UGCCAGCCGCCGCGGUAAUACGGAGGGGGUUAGCGUUGUUCGGAAUUACUGGGCGUAAAGCGCACGUAGGCGGAUUAAUAAGUCGAGGGUGAAAUCCCAGGGCUCAACCCUGGAACUGCCUUCGAUACUGUUAGUCUUGAGUUCGAGAGAGGUGAGUGGAAUUCCGAGUGUAGAGGUGAAAUUCGUAGAUAUUAGAAGGAACAUCAGAGGCGAAGGCGGCUUUCUGGUCCGAUACUGACGCUGAGGUACGAAAGCGUGGGGAGCAAACAGGAUUAGAUA
This 279-nucleotide ribosomal RNA is filed under the name uncultured bacterium. RNAcentral's name for it is "partial 16S ribosomal RNA". It matches the Rfam family "Bacterial small subunit ribosomal RNA", at positions 506 to 784 of the family's 1533-position model. The record is from RNAcentral.